Molecule: ribosomal RNA, 280 nt
Filed under: uncultured bacterium
Lineage: Bacteria
Description: partial 16S ribosomal RNA
Rfam family: Bacterial small subunit ribosomal RNA
Source: RNAcentral
ACUUGCUUUCUUUGCCGGCGACCGGCGCACGGGUGAGUAACACGUAUCCAACCUGCCCUUUACUCGGGGAUAGCCUUUCGAAAGAAAGAUUAAUACCCGAUGGCAUAAUGAUUCCGCAUGGUUUCAUUAUUAAAGGAUUCCGGUAAAGGAUGGGGAUGCGUUCCAUUAGGUUGUUGGUGAGGUAACGGCCCACCAAGCCUUCGAUGGAUAGGGGUUCUGAGAGGAAGGUCCCCCACAUUGGAACUGAGAUACGGUCCAAACUCCUACGGGAGGCAGCAUG